CCGACGUCAAGUCAAUUUUGACACGAAAAGCUGCUGGCGGCGUAGAAUGUCCAAAGAAUGGAAAAUUGGUGUAGGAUCGUUUUGGUAAGGUCGAGCGCGAAUCGGCAUACUAGUCAACAAAAAAACAUAGGAUUAAUAAAUAAUAUAUGUAUAUUCAAUUCAAUAUUCAUGGGAAAAGAUAUCUCGAUCCACAAGAACAAAAUGUCAAGCAUCAGGAAAGAUUGAAGAGAUUGGUUUAUUUUAACGAAGGGACAAUAGAACCACGACCUCUUGGAGGACCAAAUACAAGACAGGUAUUUUGAGAGUUGCUUGAGGGAAGAGAAAGAGAGGGAAAGAACAUACACAAUAGAUGUGACAAGGCUUUUACUUGGCCAAGGCGGUGUGAACUGUACAUCAAAUAAAAGGAAAUAUCGAUGGAAGAAAAUUAUAGCGAAAAUACUUUGUGUUAGGAGCCAGAUCCACGAUGCUGCAGAUUUUAAAGUAUUUGUAAUAAGUAUUUUUAUGUGAUAACUAAAUUAA
This is a long non-coding RNA of Cylas formicarius (sweet potato weevil), 519 nucleotides long. RefSeq lists it as uncharacterized. Lineage: Eukaryota; Metazoa; Arthropoda; Insecta; Coleoptera; Brentidae. The transcript has 3 exons. The record is from RefSeq and is a predicted model, not a curated record.